This 421-nucleotide ribosomal RNA is filed under the name uncultured bacterium. RNAcentral describes it as "bacterial SSU rRNA". It matches the Rfam family "Bacterial small subunit ribosomal RNA", at positions 354 to 772 of the family's 1533-position model. The record is from RNAcentral.
GUAAGGAAUAUUGGUCAAUGGACGCAAGUCUGAACCAGCCAUGCCGCGUGAAGGAUGAAGGCCCUCUGGGUUGUAAACUUCUUUUACAGGGGAAGAAACCUCUUUUUUUCAAGAGAGUUGACGGUACCCUGGGAAUAAGCACCGGCUAACUCCGUGCCAGCAGCCGCGGUAAUACGGAGGGUGCAAGCGUUAUCCGGAUUCACUGGGUUUAAAGGGUGCGUAGGAGGGCAGGUAAGUCAGUGGUGAAAUCUCCGAGCUUAACUCGGAAACUGCCGUUGAUACUAUCUGUCUUGAAUACCGUGGAGGUGAGCGGAAUAUGUCAUGUAGCGGUGAAAUGCUUAGAUAUGACAUAGAACACCAAUUGCGAAGGCAGCUCACUACACGAGCAUUGACUCUGAGGCACGAAAGCGUGGGGAUCAAA